AUAACUUUCGCAUACGAGCUCCAUUUUCGACGUUCUUUAUCUGCACACGUAGGUGACAUUAUGAUCUACAACUCUCAUUUAGACUCUGUUGGCUAAAUUUGAAUUUAUUUUUAUUAUAUUUUUAUUAGUAGGCCGGGACAUGAAAACUCCGUUAGAAAUCCAUAACUUCUUCGUCUAACGUCCGUUUUCGUCUGUCUUUUUACCUUUGGGCUACUAUCGAUGAAAUCUUCAAUUAUCAUUUAGAAAGUUUCGGCUAGAUACUGUUGGAUUAAUGUCUAAGUCCAUAACUAUAUUUGGUAUGUACUUGACCCGACCCGGCAUGGUCCAUUUGGGUUGCACUUCACCCACACAAUUUAUAUGGAUAAUCUUUUGAGAAUAGUAUGUUUAUGAUUAAUAUUAAUAUAUUAUAAGUUCUAAUAUAUUAAUAUGGAAUCAUAUUAUUUAACUAGUAUUGAUCAAGAAUUAAUUUAUAAUUAAUUAAGUGAUCAAAAGGAACUAAUUAAAUAUGGACUCUUAUAUAUAUGGAAUGGGCCAAGUUCAUUUAGGUUGGGCUAAGCUUUCAUGGAUAGUCCAUGGAGUGUUUAACCCAUGGAUCCUAGGAAAUGAAAGGUCAUGGGUAUUAGGGUUUAACCCUAAUCCUCCAUACUAUAUAAAGAUGUCUUUGGUUGGUGAAAUUGGCACUAGUGUGGAUACACUAAAGAAGGGCUAGCCAAUUUCACUAGAGAGAACCAAGUAAUCAUAUUCUCUAAAGUAUUCCAAGGUGUCUUGGUGAUUUGUGAUUCCACUUGAGGCUUCCACACUAUUGGGGCUAAGCUCUUAAAGCUUGAAGACAUCAAGCUACAUCAAAAGGUAUGUCUUCUAACUAGUACUUUGUAGAUUAAGAACAUCAUAAUAUGCUAGUUAGGAUUAAAGCCUUGGAAAGUUCUUAUUUGCAUGUAUAAUAGAGAAAACAUAGAUCCAAGGUUUAUAGGGUUGCAUGUACACCAUAGGAGUGUUAGAAUGCUCAAAACCCAACAGUGGUAUCAGAGCCACGGGUUGUUUUCUGUUAUAUUGAUGCAAAUAUUUUAUUUUCAAAGUUGAAAAAAAAAAAAAAAAAAAACAUGAAGUUUGUCAAAUUUUAAGAUAAUUACUUGUUCUUGUGAAAAACUAAUUAUUUGUAAAAUUUGAAUAAUUUGCUUUAUGAGUUGAAUUAGGUCAAAUUUAAUAAAAGAUAAAAUAAUAUGAUUAUUUUAUUAGUUUUAAAAGUUUGAUCUAAAGAGUUUUAUUUUUUGAAACCUCCAUAAGUUAUGGAUAUGAAAAGGUUUUAAAAAAAAAAUUGAUUCAAAGUUUUUUUGGAGUUACAAAAUUUGGUGUUAAUGUUUUAAAGGAUUCCAUAACUUAAGAAUAAGUUAUGGAUCACCAAAAGUUUUUUGUGUUACCUUGUUUUAUGAGUGAAUUUAGAUUAAUGAAUAAAAUUAUGUGAUAGUUGGUUUUAAUCCAAAUUAAUCUAAGAAUUGAUUCUAAAAUGUGUUUUUGUAACUUGUCCUCAAGUUAUAUGAAAAGUCACAUUUAAGAAUCAUAAAACUCAUAAAAAUUGGCAAAGGUUACAAAAAUGAAGAGUCUAGUUCUAAUUAAAUGGUUUUAUGACUCCAUAACUUGUCCUCAAGUUAUGGAGGACCAAGAGUCUCUUCAUUUAAUAAAAUAAAAUAAAAAAAAAAAAAGUGUAACCUUAAUUAAUUCCAUAAGUUAUAAAAUAAAGAAAAGUUAAUUCUUUUAUUAGUUUAAAGUCUUCCAUAACUUGUCCUCAAGUUAUGGAACUUGAAGAGUUUUUGGAUUAAAACUACUUUAAACACAUAAGUUAUGGAAUUAAUUAGUUUUGAAUAGUUUCAAAACUUGCCCUCAAGUUUUGGAAUUUGUAAAGUUUUCACUUAUGAAUACUUUAAUUCCAAGUUAGCCCUUAGAAUUUUAAAAGUUAAAAUUCAACCCUUAUACUUUAUAAUAUUAUAAGUUAAUAAUAUAUAUAUGUAUAAGAGUAAAGUCAGUCUUACCGCUAGUACGCCUCAUUCACGAAGCCGGUCUAUAAGGUGGGUAUAAGGUUGUUGCCUAUAAAAUGGCAACUUAAUGGGUGUCCACUCUCACCCACCGCUUGCUUGACUGGUGGAGGGUCGUUAGCCGAACGGGUUUGACAGGACUAGAAUUCUCCCUUCAUUAAAAGUAUUAAUGAUAAUACUAAGUAACUAAACUCUUAAUAAUACCCAAUCUUAGUUACUUAGGAAAAAUGUGAAUAAGGUGCUAAUCCAUGAAAUUACACUUUACACUUUGUCUAAGUCGUUAGUGGAGCGUGUGUGGUUAACCGGCACACUAACUUGGACUUAACAAGGUAGGUAAAGGGUGACUUAAUAUUUAUCAUAGUAUCGAUGGAGCGUGUGUGGUUAACCGGCACAUCGAUUGAGGGGUAAUUUAUUAAGGGUACCAAGUGAUUUGCAUGGUUACUUCACACCUUGUUUUGUGAUCCUCGGCAUCCCAGUCACAAAACCUGAAGGGCACACUCGAGAUUGAAACAUGCCUUUGAACAGUUCAAUGAAUCUCAAAGAUCUAGGAGUUUCAAAACCAAUUAAAACCUAAUAAUACAUUUCGUUUAUCUUGGUGGAAAUUGGUGAAUCGUCAUUCACCUACCUUCAAAUAUUUUAUAGCUUGGAUUACGGCAUACCUCUUCUAAGUUAUAAAAUAGUUUGUUGGGUCCUAGCCUUAAUAUUUCAUAUUGGGUGUCAUAUUAAGGACUUUAAAUCAACUAUCUUGAAUAUCUCCCAAAAGAUGUCUGGUUUAGACACCUAUGAUCUUCCCAAAUCUCUUGAAACAAGGUUUCCUAAUGAAGAUGAUGUCCCAUGGAUAUCAUACUUCUUUCUCCUCCUCCAAUUAUUCUCCCUAACCCACAAGUUCUUGAAAAGUUUAAGGUCACUCAAGCCCUAUUGGCAAGGCAAGGUCUAGGUGUGAUCACAUCUUGGAGAUGUAGUCACAUAUUGACAAGCCGGGAGAGUUGGGUGUCAAAGUCUUGAGAAAGUUGGUGGUUCAAUCACUUUCUAAGUCACAUAGUGAGUUCCUUUGGGACACCUAUGAAACAGACUAUGACAAGACCCUUAAUGAUCUUAUCUAUUUGCUAAGAUCAACUUCCUAAAACUUUAUGGACAUUGACAAUGAUGACAUUGGAUAUCCAGUAAAGCAUUCUCUUCCCAAUGGAAAGGGAUCGGCCAUAGUCAACUCGGUUGACCAAAUGGUAAAGAGAAAAGCUAAGUCUGUGAUAGUCUCGUGUACCAUUAUCAAAGGGUCCAUAUGUUUAUAUUGCCAAAGGAAGGGGCAUUGGUUGCGAAGCUGCCAAAUUUACCUAAGGAUGUUAAAGUCAAUAAGUUUGACUCUACUUCAGGUAAAGUCCACUAUCUAACUCUGUUAAGUUUCUAUUCUGAGAUUCCUGAUACAUGAUGUGACUGGGUCACAUGGUGAUGUUUUAAGAAUCAAAGAAAAGUGAAGAAACUUAAAGAAAGAAUAUGCUGAAUCUGAUGGCGUAGAUGGAUUUCUAUCGCAUAGUUUGAAGAUCGGAUUCUUGAGCAACUUCUUAGGAGUUAUGAGAUAUUGCUUAGGAAUAGAUAACAACAAGUUUUCAUAUGGAUUGUAAGGAUAAGUUUUUCCGCAAAGUUUUAAAAUAAAAGAAAAUUUUUGAUUUUAUUUAUUUUAAAAUAUCCUUACAAUGGCAUUUGAGGAAAAAUUGUUGCUUAUAUGAUUCCAUUAAUAGCAAGAGUGGAAAUAUGAAAUUGAUUCUUUCAUUUGUGGUAAUGUCUAGAUUUACCAAAUAAGGAAAGAUUCUCAUCACCCAAGUUUCAAUUGGACCGGAACUUGGAAUCAUGCAAGUUGUAUAGCAUGAUGAAUGAGAACUUUCAAGUUUUGGAAAAUUAAGACUAAUUACUCGGCCACAUGGAUGUGUGAGUCAAGUAAAGGACUAAGGGAUCGAGUACACAUUCUUGUGCACUGAUUAAGUCCACCACAAAAGAUUGAUAAGACUAUUCGUCAUAGUUUACUAAAGCUCAGUAAAUAUGAUUAUACUUACAAGCUUAAGUGUAACUCUGAGACAUUGGAAAAGGUUCCAAUGUAUGGCAGAGCGAAUAAGAAGAAUCAAAUUAGGCAGAAGGAUAAAAGUUUCUCAAAUCUGAAAAGAUGGGAGAGUACUUUAGUAUCAGUUUUGUGAUCAUCUUAAUGAUUAAGAAACCAUAUCAAAAUUAGUUCUCUAAGGAAAUCUUAGUGCAUUCUUAUGACUAAGAAGAGGAACUUGAAUUGUUGAAAUGGUUAAAUCAAGAAGAUGAGUCAUACUUCGUUCCAAUACAAGUCUUAGAGUCAUACUCCAAGAUUGUAAUUUGAGUGACAUGUCUUAAAGAAGGUUUAAAACACUUGUCAAAUGUAAGAGUAAAAGUUUUCUACUCUUGUACAUUUGAAAUUGGUAAGUUGUGAUGUUUUGGAUAAAACAAAGACCAACUUAGGCCAAUUGUGUGAAGUGUUUGUCUUGAUUAGAAUCCACACUAUCUCUUGGAUAUUUGACAAGGGAGUCUUAUAGGUCAAGAGGUCAGUGGGAGUCUUAAAAGUCUUGAAAGUCUCAAGAACUAAUCAAGAAUAAAACCUAAAGUUCUUCACUAGCACACAACUUGAGGUUCAUAACCUAUCGUGUUGACAUAUUCUGUGCCCAUUCCAGUUAAAGUUGGUUUUGCAUAUGAGUUCUUAGAGUUCUCAAUUUGUUGCACAACAACUUGGAAGCAAUGGUAGGCCCUUGAGCUGCCAGGUGGCAAGAAAUUAAGAUUGAGUUCAGUCCAUAUGAGUUUGGAUUUGUCAUUAUCCUUGUCUUGUGACUAUGGUUUUGACAAUUCACAUGGAUAAGAACACAUACACCAUUAAAUCUAAGUGUCAUAAGGUUUCUCUCCGAUUCAUGAAAAUGAUGGUGAGGAAACACUUUCACUAAGUAGAUUUUAGCUAGAUAGCAAUUGUGAUAUUUGCAUUCUCAAAGUCGUUAGUGGAGCGCGUGUGGUUAACCGGCACACUAAUUUGGACUUGUGAGAAGUGGCAAAAAGGUCUAAACAUUAUGAUUACGGCAUCCCUCUUCAUAAUUGUUUAGAUACACAAGUGUGCUAUCUAAGGGAAGGUGUAUGAUUUUGAUAAAGCUUUAUCAAAACAAUCUAGCAUCAGAAAUCUGAACUUUGGUAAGAAAGUCAAUGAAGUAUUGAUUUCUAGAAGUCCAGCUGAUUUCUGAGUACAUGUCAAAGCUAGUGGGAGCAUAAGUGUUAUGCUAAUAAUCAUCAUGUUAGUGGGAGCAUGAUAAUUAUGAUAAGUAUUGCAAGUUAGCAAUGUUAAUUAUAGAAAACAAAAGUUUCAAUUGGGAAAAAGUUGUUUUGCUAUAAUUAAGGGAGAGGAAAUUAUACUUCAUCUCAAAUCUAUAAGCUUAGAUCGUGAGGUUUUAAUCAUUUAGUCAAGGAUAUAUAUGAAUUUCAUGUUGGAAUGGCUCAACAUAAGGAAAUUCUGUAUAUGGGUCCAUUAUUUGCGUUCUAAAAUUCGAUUAUGAUUACGGCAUCCCUUUUCAUAAUCUGAAUUAUGAGAACUUGGCAAAUUGAAAUGGAAAUAUUAUAGCAAAAGACUGGUUUAGUCUUUAUGUAAGACAUCAUGAAUCGUGUCCCAUAUGCUUCGGAUAUAGGAUCGAUUACAUGUGCUAUAUUCAUCCGUUCUAAAAUUUUCCAAAUGCCUGGGGCAUUAAGAAGGGAAAAGGUUUAGAACUGGAUAUGACUAAAAGGAUUAAACAAUUGUCGAGGACAAUCUAAGGUUUACCAAAGAUUGGUUGCUCAAGGACAGUUGGAAGUAUAGUGAUAAUUCUGGAAGGACCAUAUUGACAUAAUCUGUAAGGAGGCAACUCUUGUUCAGAAGUGAUAGUCAAAAUGGAAUCUGGAAAUGUUUCAAAGUUAGAAUUUUCAAUCUGUUUAAGAUUAGGAAACUUAAUGCAAGAAGGAUGUUUCCAAGGAGCUGAUCUCCUUUGGAAUACUCUGUAAUGAUUGUUGUCAAGUCUUUCUGACUUUGUGCAUAAUCAUUACAAGAGGAUCAAUGCAUAUAAGUUUAGAAUCUAACAGAUUUCAGUAAAUGGCAUGAAUUUGGAAUUCUUGCAUUUGCAGUAAGGAUUUGGGAGUGUGAAAAGAGAAUCAUUGAAGUUAUGUUCAAUUGAUCUAGUUCACAAAGUAAAGAUCAUAGACAAACAUAGUAUGCAUACUUGGUGUGUGGCAUGACUAGUGUUUAAGAAAACAUAGUGUACAUGCUUGGAGCAUGGGACAACUAUUGUUUUAAAUUCAAGAAUAAAGUUGAUAGCUGAAACAGUAUACAAUGAAUAAUGUGUAAUCAUAUGGUGAUAAAUAAAAGGUGUUUUAUUUAUGUUCAAAGAUUUGAUACCAUAUUGGAUUCAAUUAUUAUUGUGUUUCACUUUGCAUGUUUUGACUUCCCGAAUAAACUAGGUUAUUCUUCCGGAAUGACUAAGUUAUUCAAACCAUCCACAGUCGGUCAUAUGUUGGAAGUAGAUAUGAAUUAAGACUGUCAUGGGUUGGCUUGUAGAGGUCUAAGGUGUUGGACAAAGGGCUACAACACUCAUGAGUGCUCAUAAGUUCUGAGUAUUGGAUUCAACCCGCGCUCAUUGGAAUCACUUCAUGGAUUUUAUCACGAGUGAUCAUGAGACGAUAAUAUCUUAUAUUCUUCAAACCUAGAGAUAUGAGUUGUUACUAUGAGUUGGUUGUACAUUGAUUGCACGAAAACGCAUUUGGUAACUCGGUGCUAUAAAACGUGCCUUUGUGUAUGAUUCAACAAGUAGUAGAACAAGCCAUAUGAGUCGAAGUUUAUCCAUUCCUUUUACCUUCGGGAUAAAAGCGAUAUCUGUGGGCCCCUCGAUGAUUUGAUGAUGACAAAUGGAAGUGCUCGGCCGGGCCAGGACUGAUUUGAUUUGUUCAAUUAGUCAGUCGUCAUAAAUCGGAAAUCGGGAAACAACAAAUGGACAGAGAGAAUGAUUAUAAUCCAUGUCUCAGUCCAUAUGAUAUCUAGAAUGGAGGAAUAUAUGAUCCCUUAUCUAAUGGACAAGUUCGUUGACAAGAUCAGAGUUCGACAGCAGCUUUAAGAGCUACGAUUGCCAGUUAGGUUUGAAGUCAUACGCAAUAAUAGUUUUAGACUUAUCCAAGUGGGAGACUGUUGGAUUAAUGUCUAAGUCCAUAACUAUAUUUGGUAUGUACUUGACCCGACCCGGCAUGGUCCAUUUGGGUUGCACUUCACCGACACAAUUUAUAUGGAUAAUCUUUUGAGAAUAGUAUGUUUAUGAUUAAUAUUAAUAUAUUAUAAGUUCUAAUAUAUUAAUAUGGAAUCAUAUUAUUUAACUAGUAUUGAUCAAGAAUUAAUUUAUAAUUAAUUAAGUGAUCAAAAGGAACUAAUUAAAUAUGGACUCUUAUAUAUAUGGAAUGGGCCAAGUUCAUUUAGGUUGGGCUAAGCUUUCAUGGAUAGUCCAUGGAGUGUUUAACCCAUGGAUCCCAGGAAAUGAAAGGUCAUGGGUAUUAGGGUUUAACCCUAAUCCUCCAUACUAUAUAAAGAUGUCUUUGGUUGGUGAAAUUGGCACUAGUGGUGAUACACUAAGAGGGCUAGCCGAUUUCACUAAGAGAAAACCAAGUAUUCAUAUUCUCUAAAGUCUUCCAAGGUGUCUUGGUGAUUUGUGAUUCCACUUGAGGCUUCCACACUAUUGGGGCUAAGCUCUUAAAGCUUGAAGACAUCAAGCUACAUCAAAAGGUAUGUCUUCUAACUAGUACUUUGUAGAUUAAGAACAUCAUAAUAUGCUAGUUAGGAUUAAAGCCUUGGAAAGUUCUUAUUUGCAUGUAUAAUAGAGAAAACAUAGAUCCAAGGUUUAUAGGGUUGCAUGUACACCAUAGGAGUGUUAGAACGCUCAAAACCCAACAGAUACCACUCGAUCUCAAAUUCGAGUAUUCGAGUUGCAUACCGCUAAGUCGAAACUUUGAAAAAUCACAACUUCCUCAUACGAAGUCAGAUUUAGACGUUUUUUUAUGCACGCUCUCGGUUUAACGUAUUCUACGACUUUCAUUUAGAUCGCUCAGGCUAAAUAUCUCUCUAACUUAAAUUCACUAUUUACGUCGCGAUGUGUCGUGCCGGUUCUGUCACGAAACUUCGACAGGUCAUAACCUCUUCAUUAUAACUCAGAUUUCGGCGUUCUUUAUAUGUACGGAAUCCU
RNAcentral lists this long non-coding RNA (8269 nucleotides) under Lactuca sativa (garden lettuce). RNAcentral's name for it is "long non-coding RNA (LSAT_LNC001835)". Lineage: Eukaryota; Viridiplantae; Streptophyta; Magnoliopsida; Asterales; Asteraceae. The record is from RNAcentral.